AGUGAACGCUGGCGGUAGGCCUAACACAUGCAAGUCGAACGGCAGCACGGUAAGAGCUUGCUCUUACGGGUGGCGAGUGGCGGACGGGUGAGGAAUACAUCGGAAUCUACUUUUUCGUGGGGGAUAACGUAGGGAAACUUACGCUAAUACCGCAUACGACCUACGGGUGAAAGCAGGGGAUCUUCGGACCUUGCGCGAUUGAAUGAGCCGAUGUCGGAUUAGCUAGUUGGCGGGGUAAAGGCCCACCAAGGCGACGAUCCGUAGCUGGCCUGAGAGGAUGAUCAGCCACACUGGAACUGAGACACGGUCCAGACACCUACGGGAGGCAGCAGUGGGGAAUAUUGGACAAUGGGCGCAAGCCUGAUCCAGCCAUACCGCGUGGGUGAAGAAGGCCUUCGGGUUGUAAAGCCCUUUUGUUGGGAAAGAAAAGCAGCAGGUUAAUACCCCGCUGUUCUGACGGUACCCAAAGAAUAAGCACCGGCUAACUUCGU
This 491-nucleotide ribosomal RNA is filed under the name uncultured bacterium. RNAcentral describes it as "partial 16S ribosomal RNA". It matches the Rfam family "Bacterial small subunit ribosomal RNA", at positions 29 to 506 of the family's 1533-position model. The record is from RNAcentral.